UGUAGAUCAAUGGCCAACGCUAAUGUCAACAUGAACUUCAACGCGUUCCUAGAGAAAACCAAGCUGAAAGAUGAUGGCAGCAACUAUACGGACUGGGUCCGGAACCUGAGGAUCAUCCUCAUAGCUGCCAGGAAACAAUAUGUCCUAGAAGGACCGCUAGGUGACGCUCCCGUCCCAGAGAACCAAGACAUUAUGAAUGCUUGGCAGUCUCGUGCUGAUGAUUACUCCCUCGUUCAGUGCGGCAUGCUUUACAGCUUAGAACCGGGGCUCCAAAAGCGUUUUGAGCACCACGGAGCAUAUGAGAUGUUCGAAGAGCUGAAACUGGUUUUUCAAGCUCAUGCCCGGGUCGAGAGAUAUGAUGUCUCCGACAAGUUCUACAGUUGUAAGAUGGAGGAAAACAGUUCUGUCAGUGAGCACAUCCUAAAGAUGUCUGGGUUGCACAACCGUAUGACCCAGCUGAACAUUAACCUCCCAGAUGAGGCGGUCAUUGACAGAAUCCUCCAGUCGCUCCCACCAAGCUACAAGAGCUUUGUGAUGAACUACAACAUGCAGGGGAUGGAAAAGACCAUUCCUGAAGUGUUCUCGAUGCUGAAGUCAGCAGAGGCUGAAAUCAAGAAAGAACAUCAA
This 627-nucleotide ribosomal RNA is filed under the name Triticum aestivum (bread wheat). RNAcentral describes it as "partial small subunit ribosomal RNA". The record is from RNAcentral. Lineage: Eukaryota; Viridiplantae; Streptophyta; Magnoliopsida; Poales; Poaceae.